Long non-coding RNA from Oncorhynchus tshawytscha (Chinook salmon), 689 nucleotides. RefSeq lists it as uncharacterized. NCBI's taxonomy places the organism in Eukaryota, Metazoa, Chordata, Actinopteri, Salmoniformes, Salmonidae. The record is from RefSeq and is a predicted model, not a curated record. The transcript is spliced from 3 exons.
AUCAAUUGAAGCAGUGCGGAGAAAAGGCUGAGCUGGAAACAUUGAUUAUGAAAACAUUAAGAAUGGGCUAAUGAGCAUGGCUACAAGGAUUUCGAUUCUCAUAACACCAUACAUAUGAAGGAAAAGGUAUACAGAUGAGGAGGCAUACAACGGUAUGUCAAUUAGUAUUGGCAUGUUACGCAGAUCAUAUUUACCAUCCUCCUCCCUUACCUCUUCAGUGAAUGGAUGUCCCAUAAGCAUCUACAUUAUGGAUAUGUGUAUGAAGUCAAGAUGUGAUGAGCCAGAGCAACCAAUCAGCUUUACUGCAGUUGCUCAACCCACCACUCUCAAUGUUCUCCCUCCACAAGUAACCACAUCGUCUUCUCCUGUUCAACUACAUUGCCACCACACUAAAAAUGACUGUACAUAUACCCCUGUGCCCAUCUCAGUGUAAUAUGAUCAAUCCAAUGUGUAUGGACACAUUUUUUAUGUUUAAUUUAAUUUAGUUUAUUUUGCCUCCCAGUUAUUUGCAUUUAAUGUAUGUACACUGCUCAAAAAAGGGAACAUUUGAUUUCCAUUGAUAAUUUUUUUGUGAUUUUGUUGUCAGCAUGGAGGUCUGGAUUCGGAGUGGAUUAAGAGUGACACUCAAAAUUAAAGUGGAAAACCACCCUACAGGCUGAUCCAACUUUGAUGUAAUGUCCUUAAAACAA